ACUCACUGCAUCCUGCCACCUUGUGAAGGAGGUGCCUGCUUCUCCUUUGCCUUCUGCCGUGAUGAUGAGGAAACUGAGGCACUGAGAGCGUACAUAACUUCCCUGAGAUCAUACAACUGCUAUGUUCAUGGAUAUUUUAUUUUCAUGUUUUUGUUUUAUCUUCAAAUUGUGUGUUGUUUCAUCUAUAAUUGGUCUCCUUAAGCAACUCUACACUGAUGUGAAAGUAUCUUUCAAUAGAAUCGUCUCAGCUAUCCUUGAACUGUUCCUCUUCCAUAGAAGUUGGGAAUCACCAUUCCAACCUUCAUCAACCACCACCCUGAUCAGUCAGCAGCCAUCAACGUCAGGGCAAGACCCUCCACCAGCAAAAUGAUUAUGACUUGCAAAACGCCC
RNAcentral lists this long non-coding RNA (390 nucleotides) under Homo sapiens (human). Its description in RNAcentral is "non-protein coding lnc-SPANXN2-4:2". Lineage: Eukaryota; Metazoa; Chordata; Mammalia; Primates; Hominidae. The record is from RNAcentral.